UACAACCAACUUGUUCACUGCCAAACAUGGCUCCCCAACCACAUCUGUCCUUGUUCUAGAGCUCCUUGUAGGUCUACGAUCCUUCCAUACUUAUAGCCAAAACUCUGGGAGUUUUAUGAAACGUUUGGCUGUAACAAAUUAGUUUGUGGGAGUGCUGAUGAUCGUGACGCUCACGAGUUAGCGUGCCACUAAUUAAUAAACAUGGGCCCUAAUAAACAUGAAUGAGUUAGCGUGCCACUAAGUUAAUAAACAUGAAUGAGUUAGCGUGCCACUAAGUUAAUAAACAUGGGCCCUAAUAAACAUGAAUGAGUUAGCGUGCCACUAAGUUAAUAAUCAUGAAUGAGUUAGCGUGCCACUAAGUUAAUAAUCAUGGGCCCUAAUAAUCAUGAAUGAGUUAGCGUGCCACUAAGUUAAUAAACAUGGGCCCUAAUAAUCAUGAAUGAGUUAGCGUGCCACUAAGUUAAUAAUCAUGGGCCCUAAUAAUCAUGAAUGAGUUAGCGUGCCACUAAGUUAAUAAACAUGGGCCCUAAUAAACAUGAAUGAGUUAGCGUGCCACUAAGUUAAUAUUCAUGAAUGAGUUACAUGGCACUCUGCUGCUGAUAGAUACAUCAGCAGCCCCCAAUCCCCUCCAGGCCAAAGCAAACAUUGGUUGAGUCAAUCUAGUUUAUUAAAACUGAAUUUAUCAUGGUCCAUAAAUAUAGCUGAUUGGUUGAAUUAGCAAAAAGUGAUCGACAUACACAGUCUUUGUCUCAUUGUAACCCAGAUUUCAACCACAAAUUAUACCAAUAGGGUUCCAAAGAUUGGUUUAUUUCUAGUUGAAUUUAAGUUUGAUGACAACUCAAUCAAAUAUCAAUCAAAAUUGUAUGUUGAUCUGGUGUCUUUGCUCGGAGAGUAGAUUGAAUUUCCUUGGAUAAAGGUAGCUCUGGUCCAGUGUGCAGCUGGGCUAACACUGAGCUCAGUAAGCCGCACGUAACACCCUGGAUCAGAGCUAGAGGAAAUAGUAGCAGGUGAUCUAUGAACUGAAACAAAAGGAUGAGGGAAAAGGAAGCUCCCAGCUGCCUGAAAUGUCAAUGAGUGAGCUAUGUCUCUUCAACCUGCUAUGCACGGCAUCUAGAGCUGAAAAUCACAAAAGCAUGACAGCAUAUUUCACUAAGUUGCCACGGGAGUACCAAGGCCUGUCUGAAGAAAACAGAUGUGCAAGCAUGAAGGUUGAGAUUGAACGUGCAUGAAGUGAGUCUGCAGCCAAAAAGAGAAAAUCUGUCUCUGUGUACAGAUAAUAUGACAGAUAUCACAUAUCACAGACAUAACUAUGACUACUUGUCAUUUUAAAGUGUUUUUCAUGGUUGCAAAGACGAGGGACGCAAAUGCCAUCGCUUGAAGAACGAUCCAACCACAUAUUACAUAAUUGAAUUCCCCUAAAUAAAGUUAAU
Molecule: long non-coding RNA, 1430 nt
Filed under: Salmo salar (Atlantic salmon)
Lineage: Eukaryota; Metazoa; Chordata; Actinopteri; Salmoniformes; Salmonidae
Description: lncRNA (ENSSSAG00000120180.1)
Source: RNAcentral